RNAcentral lists this ribosomal RNA (468 nucleotides) under uncultured bacterium. RNAcentral's name for it is "partial 16S ribosomal RNA". It matches the Rfam family "Bacterial small subunit ribosomal RNA", at positions 28 to 507 of the family's 1533-position model. The record is from RNAcentral.
GACGAACGCUGGCGGCGUGCUUAACACAUGCAAGUCGAACGGAAAGGCCCUGCUUUUGUGGGGUGCUCGAGUGGCGAACGGGUGAGUAACACGUGAGUAACCUGCCCUUGACUUUGGGAUAACUUCAGGAAACUGGGGCUAAUACCGGAUAGGAGCUCCUGCUGCAUGGUGGGGGUUGGAAAGUUUCGGCGGUUGGAGAUGGACUCGCGGCUUAUCAGCUUGUUGGUGGGGUAGUGGCUUACCAAGGCUUUGACGGGUAGCCGGCCUGAGAGGGUGACCGGCCACAUUGGGACUGAGAUACGGCCCAGACUCCUACGGGAGGCAGCAGUGGGGAAUAUUGCACAAUGGGCGGAAGCCUGAUGCAGCAACGCCGCGUGCGGGAUGACGGCCUUCUGGUUGUAAACCGCUUUCGCCUGUGACGAAGCGUGAGUGACGGUAAUGGGUAAAGAAGCACCGGCUAACUACGUG